AAUCAAAUUAGCAAAAUCCCUACACAAGACCCAUAUGAGAGAGAGCUAGAUCCAACAAAUUUUCAAAUCAAACAACAAAUUUAGAUGUUGGGUCCUCUCAAUUUGAGUCCUUUUCUCAAACUCAGUCCCAUCUUUGUUAAAAUUUGUCAAGUCCUUUCAAUUUUACAAUUUUCUCUCCACAAAUUAAAGUCAUAAAAAGAUAUGGAAAAUUGCAGAUUUCAACCGAUAAAUAUGGAGUUUUUUCCAUAUACGGAGGAAAAAACAAAUUGGAGUUUAAAGAUUACAAAGAAAACAACAGUAGCCGAACAACAUUGGUGUAGAUUUCAGGACUCUUUGUGUGAACUUUACAG
Long non-coding RNA from Solanum tuberosum (potato), 350 nucleotides. RefSeq lists it as uncharacterized. Lineage: Eukaryota; Viridiplantae; Streptophyta; Magnoliopsida; Solanales; Solanaceae. The record is from RefSeq and is a predicted model, not a curated record. The transcript is spliced from 2 exons.